CCCAUGCCCUGAUGUGCUCGAGCUCGAGCAAGGAGACGCUCCCAAGUCUAUCCCCUCCUUCUAGAGACCCUUCAUCGCAUCGGCACUGCCCUGCAUCUCCUGUGUGCCUCGUUUUCCCCUUGUAAGAAGCUCUGUCCGAUCUGAUUUCGUUGCCUUUUUUACUAGAUCCGUUCUGGACGAUUAUGUUUAUUAGGUUUGCCACGACAUUUCUAGACAAGCAACACUAGUGGCCGAGGUGGCUAGCGUCUUUCGUUAGCAACCACGAGGUGUGAGAUUCGAAUACCACUCACCCCGAUUUUUCCUUUUGAUAUAUUUAUGAUUUAGGUUCGCCCACGGUUUAGUUUUAUCUAGCCCAGUGCUCAUAUGUUGGACAUAAUCACAGAUCUAGCACACUGGUAUGUGCCUUGUAGUGAAACCCACGGGUCUUUGGUUCAAAUCCGAGCUGCCCCAUGUUAUUUUUUCUGUCUGUUAUUUUUAAUCAUUGUCACAUGCUUUGUCCUGAUCUGGCGCUCGGUUGCGCUGUGUCUUCAGAUUCGUCCCAGUUCUUUUUUUUAACCUAUGCUAGGAAUUUUGCUAAUUUUCAGAAAAAUCAACAUAUUUUCAAAUGCCCGUAGUUUCUAAUCCAUGCAUCGGAUUGCGAUGAGUUAUAUAUGUAGCUUGGCUAGAAUUUCACGUAGGUUAAUAAUUUUCAACUCUCAUGCGUAAUUAGAACUAUUUAGUGUGCUGUUUGCAUCGGUUGCGCGUCGACGUGUUGAAAACGGUUUAGGUCGUAACUAUUUGUCCAUAGCUCCGUAGGAGAUGUGCCAUAUAUGUAAAUGGAUCAGAACAACGAGUCGAAUCACGUGAACCACUUUGUUUCGCCGUUAAACAAACCUAAAAUGUGAUUAGGACAAAUCUGGACAUAACUAAGAUUUAACACGUGGGGUCAUUUUGGAGAUGCUAUAUGUAGUUUCCGGUCUCAUUUAAAAUACUAGCUAGGUAGAUUAAUUUGUGCUUCACCCUCGCACCAUGUUUAACAACAUUUAAUAUAGCUGUGUACCUGAACCGGAGUGAACUAAAUAAUUAAACGUGGAGUUUCGUCGAUAUGCAACUCGUUGCAUAUCGAGCUUCACUUAAUGUGUAGUGUUUGAAUGUUGUGAUUGUCAUGCCUUGCAUUAGUCCGUUCAUGCAUCAUAUGUGUUGUGCAUCGUGUGUUGAAUAUCGUGUGAUGAUGCUUGUUUCUGGUUUCCUCCAUCUCGAUAGAGUUCCACAAGCGUGUCGGAAGUGAGGACCCGUUCGACUACAUCGGUUCGUGUGCUUCACGGAGUCACUCUUCUUCCAAGCGGGAUCUCAGGCAAGAUGACCAUUUCCCCAGAUACCAUUACUAUCAUUGCCAUGCUAGUUUUACCGUUUCUACCGUUUACGUCUCGUUGCCUACCACAUGUUAAAUAUCAGCCUCUCAACAAUGCCAUGAUUACCUUCAACCUGGUCGACCUAGGAAACCACUGAUUGGCUAUGUUACCGCUUGCUUAUCCAUGUUGUUAGCGUUGGUAGUUGCAGGUGCACAUGCUUCCAUGUGUUAACAUGGGUUCCUUAUUAUAUCACCACAUUAAUGCUAUUUAAUAUAAUGCACCUAUAUACUUGGUAAAAGGUGGAAGGCUCGGCCUUCCUAGCCUGGUGUUUUGUUCCACCUUUGCCCCCUUAGUUUCGGCUACCGGUGUUAUGUUCCAUAUACGAGCACUCCUAACAUGAUCAGGGUUGUUGUGGGGACCCCCUUGAUAAUUUGUUUUAGAUUAAAGCUGGUCUAGCAAGGCCCAACAUUGGUACUACAUUUGCCCAACAUAAUAACUUUGAUAAUACUAAAAGCAUAGGGCGUCAUGAACCCGAGGAGUAAUUUCACAUAAUACAGGGGGGCAGUGAUGUUGGUGCUGGUCCAAAACUAGAGCCGUUUGCGGGGCCAACCCGGGGCAACUGGGGAGAUUUCUAUCAGGCCACCGUACGCUGUGCUUAUCCGUCGUGUCCUGAGAACGAGAUACGCGGCUGCUAUCGGGAUCGUCGACACGCCGGGCAGCCUUGCUGGAUUUGUUUUACCUUUGACGAUAUAUCUUGUGCAUCGGGAUUCCGGUGAUGCUUUGGGUAAUCUCAGAGUUGAGGUUUUCCACUAGGGAAUCCGAUGAGAUCGCGAGCUUCGUGAUUGAGGAUUUCUAUGCGGCUUGUGGUAAUUUCUGAUGGACUAGUUGGAGCACCCCUGCAGGGUUAAAUCUUUCGGAAAGCCGUGCCCACGGUUAUGUGGCAACGUGGAAACUUUGUUUAACCGUGCUUCUAGAUAACUUGAAGUUAAUUUAAUUAAGAUAUGCCAACUGUGUGCGUAACCGUGACUGUCUCUUUCGUGAGUUCCUUCUCCGAUCGAGGACACGGUGGGGUUAUGUCUGACGUAGGUAGGUGUUCAGGAUCAUUCAUUUGAUCAUCAGUAGUUCACGUCCGCUAUGCGUAGAUCAUCCCCCUCUUAUUUCCUGUACUCGUAAGUUUAGCCACCAAAUAUGUGCUUAGUCGUUGCUGCAACCUCACCACUUAACCAUGCCUCACCCAUUAAGCUUUGCCAGUCUUGAUACCUCUAGAAAUGAGAUUGCUGAGUCCCCUGUGGCUCACAGAUUACUACAACACCAGUUGCAGGUACAGGUAAAGGUUAUUUGUCGCGAGCGCGUUGGUUGUUCAUUUGGAUUGCUUCUUCUUCUUCUUCAUCAUCGAUCUAGGAUGGGUUCCAGGCCGGCAGCCUGGGAUAGCAAGGAUGGACGUCGUUCUUCUUUUCCCGUUUGUUUUCGUCCGUAGUCGGACCCUCCUCUUACUCUUGAUGAUUAUGUAAUGUAGUGAUGUGACUCUGAUGUAGCUUGUGGCGAGUGUAAGCCAAUUCUGUCAUAUCUCUCUUCUUUUCAGUACAUGUACUUGUAACGAUAUCCAUUCUUGUGACACAACGAGAUGCGCUUCUAUCCCUGACGAGGCCCCCGUGCCAAAUUGAGGAUAGGGUCGCAUCUUGGGCGUGACAAGUUGGUAUCAGAGCAGUACCGACCUAGGAGCCCCCUUGAUUGAUCGAACAUGGUUGAGUCGAGUCUAGUGAAAAACUGCUUUGAGUCUAGUUAUAUAUCAGGGAGUAGGAUUCUUUUUUCUCCUCUUCUAUGCUCUGGUGAGGAAUCUUGACGUAAUAAUUUAAUUCUACUCCUCUUCUCACUCAAAAAAAAAUUAGGAUCACACGGAUAUUUUUGGAAUCUAUAUGAUGCCGAUGUGACGGAGUUCUGUCUUGGUGCCUCCUAUGUGCUUUGAGUUUCAAGGGAGUUGAGCUCCAGGGGAUUCUUGAGCACAUCGUUAUCAUUCAUAUUUCUUAGUAUCUCAAAAUGAAGGAUGUUCAUAAUUGCUUCAAUACUAGUAGUGGCGAGAUAACCCCGAUGUCCCUAGUACUGGUGCAGAUUGUUCGGGAGUACUGCCAUACUUUGUAUCGUUGUGAUCAUGAGGAUCUGUUGUAGAUGAAGGUCCGAGAUUCUGGUUGUGUGUUGGCGUAUGUGAUACAAGUGACGGGUUAGUAUAGGAGUUGUGUGAUAUUACUCCUUGUAUCCGUGUACCAGAUUGCAUGACCAGAUAUUUCGGGGAUUCAUAGGUGGGAAUUCAAGUAGUUACUUAUAGGACGAUCUUCCAACAAAUUCAUGUUGCUUCGAUGUCAAGUGGUGAUUUCAGAUCUUUUCUAAGAGGUGUUCUCAUAUUUUUAUGAGAGUAUUAAUCAUUUUGCUUAAUCAGUUGUCUUAUCAUUUCUUUUUAACCGGAGUCGUCAUGUUAAUUCCUUUUUAACCGGUUUGCUUCUCUUCAGUGAAUUCAAUCCUCUUUAAUUUUUGCAAGAUCAUUCUCUCAUUUUAUUCCGGAGUUCAUCUCAUCUAGCCCAAGUUAUCUUUGUUUUCCCCACCCUCCCGCCCUUUUUCUCAGUGAUUUAGUUUUCAUCCAAGAGUUUUCUUUUCAUGUGCUUCCGUCUGUUCUUUUCUCUCUUACCCGGUGAUUCGUUGUGAAGAUUCUCAGGAGCUUCAUGUUCAUAUUUAUUCAUUCUUAUUAUCUUUUUCGGUGAAUUUAAUUCAGUUGUCCGUGUUCGUCAUAUCCUUGCGUCCUUGUAAUUCUUUCCUAUGUUGGAGAUUCGUUUCAGCCUAUCUUGCUAUUCAUUUCCCUAUAGUCUAUCCAGAGUGCUGAAGUUAUCUCAGAAAUUCUUUUUUUUCAAUUCUUUCAUUGAUUUCGGGCUGCUAACCUCGUCUAGUCUUCAUUUGUACCGGUGCAAUAUCCCUCUUCUAAGCAAUCUUGUCAACGGUGAUUUCUUUGAGUGGUCCCAUAACCCACAGGUUCUUUCCCAGCAUCUUUCCUGGCUCUUUUAAUCUUUUCCCGGAGAUCAUAAAAUUUUCAACUAUGACGUAAGUAUGAUUUUCAUCAGUCAUAUUCCUUCUUCAAGAUCAAUUUGAAUUAAUUCUCAUAUUUGGCUCAACCUUUCAUUCUUCACUAUUCCGGAGUAUCUCAGUUAUUCUUGGUGGUGUGCUCCUCAUCAUUUCAGUUUUGAAGACCGAAGGAGUUUUCCUCUCAAAUCUUGGUUCAUCCUCUUGCAGAUUCGUCAUUUCAGCGUUGUGUUAUCAUCUUGAAUUGUUCCAAUCAUGCGUAUCUAUUUCUUGCUUUCCAGUGCUUCUCUGAGUUGUUUUCAUUCUCGAUCCUCCGAAGGCCAUCAUUUCAGAAGAUUCUUCGUUCUCAGCUUUUAGCUUUCAUCCUCAAUUCUUCUCCAUUGUUGUCUCUUCGUUCGUCUCUCAAUUAUUCUGGUUCCUUGUUCUAGUUUUCUAUUAGGUGGCUCAUGAUCUCUUCUUUAUCAUGUAUCUCCAUUAAUUUGUGGUGUUCCCAUUCAAUUGUGAAUUCUUACCGGUGCUUCCUUCAAUUUUGCCUCAAGUGUUGCUUAUCUCUCUAUCUCUUCAAGUCUCUUUCAAGAAUAAUAAGUGCUACGCUAAAUCCGUUGCUUGUCAUCAAUUAAACUUGAUGAAGGAUUAGCAUAACAUAAUUCUUAUUCUUGUUCAUAGUAAUCUGAAUUCUUCUUCCGGAGUGGCUCAUGAUAUCAAUCCCUUUUCUCAAGUGUUCUUAUCUUUUCUUUUCCGGAGUCCCAAGUUUUGUCAGUUAUCUCGUUGUGAAGCUUCAUCUAAAUCUUGGCAAGGUCUUAAUCUUUCAUCCUUCUUAUCUUUGCUUCAUCCUUUUCAUAUGGAGGCUCGUCAUGGUGGUUCUUCAAGGGGGAUUCUCAUGUGUUCUUCAAGAUUCCUGUUGGAAUACCUCAAGUAUUCUUUCUCUUCCAUUUUCAGUGCAUUUGUUCUUCCGUUAUCCUUUGAGGUGGUAUUAUAGCAUUCUUGUUAGUGUAGGAGCCUCGAAGAGAUUUCCUUUCAAGAAUGAGAUAAUUAAACCCACCAAUUCUAUGAUCAUGAGAUAUUUCAACCCAUGAAUAAUUCAUUGAGCUAUCUUGGUUUAGACUUCACCUAAAGCUUUUCCUAUGGUGGUGCUAUCAUGGUGCUUGUCAUUAAUCCCAGUUCUCAAUGCACCCUCUUGGUGUAAGAAGUUUUGAUAUCUUUGCUUUCUUCUAUUCUUGUUCUUUUAGUGGUUGGUUGUCACCUCAUAAUUGUUGAGAUGAUUUCCAUAAGCCCACUACUAUCUUGUUCUUUUCGUUGUUGGUUUUCCUACUACUAAGUCAAUUCUCUUUCCGGAGGCUCUUCAAUUCUAUUGUGAUGAUAGUUGUCAUUCUUUUGCUUCAUUCCCUUCUUCCGCUUGAGCUAGUUUCUAUUCUAUUGUUCCGGAAGCUUUGUGAUGUUGCUCUUUUGGGUCUAUUAUGUUGUUCUAUCAAGAUCAUGGUGUUCCCUUGUUCUAUUUACUUUUUUGUUGUGAUCAUUGUCUAAUUCUACCUUCUUAUCGAAUUUUUUUGUCCCAUUUUCCUACCGAAGUGCUGCCGAAAUUUUUCAUGAAUUCUUGCUUCUUUCUCAUAUCAUUCCUCAUCUCCUUGCAACCUUCAAGGAUUGUUGGUGUCACUCGUUUGUCAAGAAGCGACUAAAUUUUUACCUCUUGUUCGUUCUCAUCCUCCCCCCUUUCAUUCUUGGAUAUCGGGGCGAGAUCCUCUUGUAGUGUAGGAGAGUUGUGACAACCCGAUGCCGACGUUCCAGAAGAUUCCCCUUUCUUUCCGUUUUCGUCGUGUCUCUAUUUUCUUUUGUCGCAUCAUCAUCGCAUCAUGCGCAUCAUCUGCAUUGCAUCGGCAUCUCCGUUGCCGCCAGUUUUCAAAAGUUGCAUCCGUUGUCAGUUGCCGGUUCUCGUCGUUGUCCGUUCCGAGCCCGACCACACACGCACGUGCCCGCGACAACGUCAAAAUCUUGUUUUCAAAAGUGUGUUCAAAAAUUUCCCUGUUUGGGUUGGAACUUGGCGUGCGGUCGUAAUUAGUUGUAGCUAGGCGCCUGUCAAGUUUCCUUGCAAUCGGAGUCCGUCUCGUGCCCGAACGGUCGACCGUAGCGGCACCGUAUUCGGUCUAUCGUCGGACAUUUUCCGGUAUUUUAAAUCUCGUUGCCGGGCUGCCCGUUUUCCCUCUCAUCUCCGCCUAGCCUCUCUGCACAGUGCACCGACCCUACGCGCAGCCUAGUUCGAAAACCUCCCAGAACCCGAACCGGGCGGUCGUGAUCGUUGGAUCCGGAUCAACCCCGUUUUACCACAAACCAUCAUCGGUUUGUCCAUUGGACCACCUAACCUAGUUAUUUUUUUGACCGGCUGAUUUAAGUUAGAGGGUCCAAAAAGACCUAGACCUAAACCGAUUUAGUAUAUAUAGACCUACCUAUCCCCAAUUAGACCAAAACCUAGUUUCUAGGGAUCCUCCCCCGUCUCAUCCGCGCGCCGCCACCCACCUCGGGGUCCAACCCGAUCCAACCACACACAUCGCGCCGCACGAGUUCUUCCCUCCAUCCCUGAGCCUGUGACCUUCCCAGCCCGAGAGCAUGUGUCCCAUCUCCAUGCGAGCUCGGACGCGUCAAGCGCUCGGAUGAAGAGCCACUCCCGCGACAUCUCCUGCACGCUGGAGCUCCCUGACCAGCAGUGCCGCUGCGCCCGUACUGGCCGGCGACCAACCCACGCAUGCCCCGUCGCGCCCUUCUCUCUUCUUCCUCUCCUCUCACCUCCCCGUCUCUUCUUUCUCCUCCAGGAGGAGAACCAUGGCGCCCGAGAUUCAGGAAGGCCCAUCGUAGCGGGCCCUCGUCUUCAUCAAGAUCCAUCCGGAACUGGUCUGGAGCGGCCGAAUCUGUGUUGCCCCUUGCCUCUCCGCCAUUCGUGCCUCGCGUUGGAGCCUCUCCUUGGCCGAACACGGAGGAGCUGCUGCCUCGCCCGCUGUCAUGGCCGUCCCGAGUUCCCUAGCCGCCGGAGCCAUGCUACAAUACCGACCCCAUGCCCUGAUGCGCUCGAGCUCGAGCAAGGAGACGCUCCCAAGUCUAUCCCCUCCUUCUAGAGACCCUGCAUUGCGCCGGCACUGCCCUGCAUCUCCCGCCUGCCUCGUUUUCCCCUUGUAAGAAGCUCUGUCCGAUCUGAUUUUGUUGCCUUUUUUUUACUAGAUCCGUUGUGGACUGUUAGGUUUAUUAGGUUUGCCACGACAUUUCUAGACAAGCAACACUAGUGGCCGAGGUGGCUUGCGGCUUUCGUUAGCAACCACGAGGUGUGAGGUUCGAAUCCCACUCA
Molecule: long non-coding RNA, 7728 nt
Filed under: Hordeum vulgare
Lineage: Eukaryota; Viridiplantae; Streptophyta; Magnoliopsida; Poales; Poaceae
Description: long non-coding RNA (HVUL_LNC003222)
Source: RNAcentral